GCCCGCCUAGCUCAAUCGGCCAGAGCGUCAGACUUUUAAGAAAUGUCAUCUGAAGGCUGCGAGUUCGACCCUCGCGGUGGGCU
Molecule: transfer RNA, 83 nt
Filed under: Termitomyces sp. T159_Od127
Lineage: Eukaryota; Fungi; Basidiomycota; Agaricomycetes; Agaricales; Lyophyllaceae
Description: tRNA-Lys
Rfam family: tRNA
About the family: Transfer RNA (tRNA) molecules are approximately 80 nucleotides in length.
Source: RNAcentral